UCCUCACGGUGAUGUUAGCACUGGGCUCCGAGUGUACAUGAGGGAUACACGUGCCACUCAGUGACUUGACACGCUGGGUGCCUGAGUGAGGA
Molecule: small nucleolar RNA, 92 nt
Organism: Pristis pectinata (smalltooth sawfish)
Lineage: Eukaryota; Metazoa; Chordata; Chondrichthyes; Rhinopristiformes; Pristidae
Source: RefSeq, a predicted model, not a curated record